This 433-nucleotide ribosomal RNA is filed under the name uncultured bacterium. RNAcentral describes it as "partial 16S ribosomal RNA". It matches the Rfam family "Bacterial small subunit ribosomal RNA", at positions 29 to 507 of the family's 1533-position model. The record is from RNAcentral.
AACGAACGCUGGCGGCAUGCCUAACACAUGCAAGUCGAACGAUGCCUUCGGGCAUAGUGGCGCACGGGUGCGUAACGCGUGGGAAUCUGCCUUUUGGUUCGGAAUAACUCAGGGAAACUUGAGCUAAUACCGGAUAACGUCGCAAGACCAAAGAUUUAUCACCGAAAGAUGAGCCCGCGUAGGAUUAGCUAGUUGGUGAGGUAAAGGCUCACCAAGGCGACGAUCCUUAGCUGGUCUGAGAGGAUGAUCAGCCACACUGGGACUGAGACACGGCCCAGACUCCUACGGGAGGCAGCAGUGGGGAAUAUUGGACAAUGGGCGAAAGCCUGAUCCAGCAAUGCCGCGUGAGUGAUGAAGGCCUUAGGGUUGUAAAGCUCUUUUACCCGGGAAGAUAAUGACGGUACCGGGAGAAUAAGCCCCGGCUAACUCCGUG